RNAcentral lists this ribosomal RNA (449 nucleotides) under uncultured bacterium. RNAcentral describes it as "partial 16S ribosomal RNA". It matches the Rfam family "Bacterial small subunit ribosomal RNA", at positions 29 to 523 of the family's 1533-position model. The record is from RNAcentral.
AGCGAACGCUGGCGGCAGGCCUAACACAUGCAAGUCGAACGAACUCUUCGGAGUUAGUGGCGGACGGGUGAGUAACACGUGGGAACGUGCCUUUAGGUGCGGAAUAACUCAGGGAAACUUGUGCUAAUACCGAACGUGCCCUUCGGGGGAAAGAUUUAUCGCCUUUAGAGCGGCCCGCGUCUGAUUAGCUUGUUGGUGGGGUAAUGGCCCACCAAGGCGACGAUCAGUAGCUGGUCUGAGAGGAUGACCAGCCACAUUGGGACUGAGACGCGGCCCAAACUCCUACGGGAGGCAGCAGUGGGGAAUCUUGCGCAAUGGGCGAAAGCCUGACGCAGCCAUGCCGCGUGGAUGAUGAAGGUCUUAGGAUUGUAAAAUCCUUUCACCGGUGAAGAUAAUGACUGUAGCCGGAGAAGAAGCCCCGGCUAACUUCGUGCCAGCCGCCGCAGUAA